Homalodisca vitripennis (glassy-winged sharpshooter) is the source of this 137-nucleotide small nuclear RNA. RefSeq annotates it as U4 spliceosomal RNA. The transcript has a single exon. The record is from RefSeq and is a predicted model, not a curated record. NCBI's taxonomy places the organism in Eukaryota, Metazoa, Arthropoda, Insecta, Hemiptera, Cicadellidae.
AUCUGUAGUAAGUGGCAAUAUCGUAACCAAUGAAGUUCAUCUGAGGUGCGAUUAUUGCUUAUUGAAAACUUUUAUUUAUUCUAUCUCUUAGAUGUAGAAUCUGGCAUUGAAUAUAUCUUAAUAAUCCUUAUAGUGGG